AUUGAACGCUGGCGGCAUGCCUUACACAUGCAAGUCGAACGGUAGAGGGGGCAACCUCUCGAGAGUGGCGAACGGGUGAGUAAAGCAUCGGAACGUGCCCAGUAGUGGGGGAUAGCCCGGCGAAAGCCGGAUUAAUACCGCAUGAGACCUACGGGUGAAAGGGGGGGAUCGCAAGACCUCUCGCUAUUGGAGCGGCCGAUGUCAGAUUAGGUAGUUGGUGGGGUAAAGGCCUACCAAGCCGACGAUCUGUAGCUGGUCUGAGAGGACGACCAGCCACACUGGGACUGAGACACGGCCCAGACUCCUACGGGAGGCAGCAGUGGGGAAUUUUGGACAAUGGGCGAAAGCCUGAUCCAGCCAUGCCGCGUGCGGGAAGAAGGCCUUCGGGUUGUAAACCGCUUUUGUCAGGGAAGAAAUCCUUUGAGUUAAUACCUCGGGGGGAUGACGGUACCUGAAGAAUAAGCACCGGCUAACUACGUGCCAGCCGCCGCCGUAA
This 496-nucleotide ribosomal RNA is filed under the name uncultured bacterium. RNAcentral describes it as "partial 16S ribosomal RNA". It matches the Rfam family "Bacterial small subunit ribosomal RNA", at positions 29 to 523 of the family's 1533-position model. The record is from RNAcentral.